RNAcentral lists this long non-coding RNA (844 nucleotides) under Mytilus galloprovincialis (Mediterranean mussel). Lineage: Eukaryota; Metazoa; Mollusca; Bivalvia; Mytilida; Mytilidae. The record is from RNAcentral.
GCUUUAUUAGGAUUGAUCUUGUCCAGUAAUUUUAUGACACCCUUCUUGGAGAUGGUGAUCUUGUUCAUUUUUGGAUAGUUUGAUUUCCCUUUAUCCGGAAUAGGUUCACUUGUUGUUUCUUCUGAAAAUGCUUUUUGAAACUGACUAUUUAGGAUGUUAGUUUUGUCAGAUGUAUUGUCAGUAAGUUUACCAUCUUUUCUAAGUGCAGCAAUGCCUGUAUUGUCAUUUUUCAUACUUUUUAUGUAUGUAAACAAGUUCUUAGGUUGUUUUUUUUUCUGAUGUUGUCAUCUGGUUCAUCUACUGGUAGGUCAAAUAUCAUUUUUUCAAUGUAAUUCCAGUAGGCAUUACGCAUUUCUUUUUGUAAUGUUCUUUUUAAGUAUUUGUAUUUUUUCAUUUGAUCUGGACUGUUUUUGCUCUUUUUAUGUAGUCUUUUAACUUUGUUUAUCAUGAUUUUUAAUGUUUUAUCAACCCAGGGUAGUUUUUUCUUGUUUGUGAUUGUUUUCUGGGGGAUGUUUUUCUUGACUGAUUGAAGUAGCCUUUCUGUAAAUGUAUUCCAUAGUUCAUCAGUAGAUGAACUAUGAUAAUGACCUUUGAUUUCUUGUGUGAGUUUGUUCACAUCUUGUUUGAUGUUUUCCCAGUUAGCUUUCCUGUACUGGUAAGUUUUUCUUGGCAUUUUCUUGUUGCGUUUUAGAGAUAGUGCACAUUCUGCAUAGACGAUAUCAUGGUCUGCAUUUCCGAUAGGAGGCAUAGUCUCCACUUUGUUGACUAUGCUUGGUAUGUUGGUGAGAAUGAGAUCAAGUGUUCUGUCUCCCCUAGUGGGCUUUUUUACAAUCUGCUCAAGUGA